Molecule: ribosomal RNA, 271 nt
Filed under: uncultured prokaryote
Description: partial 16S ribosomal RNA
Rfam family: Bacterial small subunit ribosomal RNA
Source: RNAcentral
UACGGAGGAUCCGAGCGUUAUCCGGAUUUAUUGGGUUUAAAGGGUGCGCAGGCGGGGGAUUAAGUCGGCGGUGAAAUUUUGCAGCUCAACUGUAAAAGUGCCUUCGAAACUGGUUUCCUUGAGUGUAGAUGAAGUAGGCGGAAUUUGUGGUGUAGCGGUGAAAUGCAUAGAUAUCACGAGGAACUCCGAUUGCUAAGGCAGCUUACUAAGCCAUAACUGACGCUCAAGCACGAAGGCGUGGGGAUCAAACAGGAUUAGAUACCCGUGUAGU